Molecule: ribosomal RNA, 465 nt
Filed under: uncultured bacterium
Lineage: Bacteria
Description: partial 16S ribosomal RNA
Rfam family: Bacterial small subunit ribosomal RNA
Source: RNAcentral
CCUACGUGAGGCAGCAGUAGGGAAUCUUCCACAAUGGGCGAAAGCCUGAUGGAGCAACGCCGCGUGGGUGAAGAAGGUCUUCGGAUCGUAAAACCCUGUUGUUAGAGAAGACAGUGCGUGAGAGUAACUGUUCACGUUUCGACGGUAUCUAACCAGAAAGCCACGGCUAACUACGUGCCAGCAGCGGCGGUAAUACGUAGGUGGCAAGCGUUAACCGGAUUUAUUGGGCGUAAAGGGAACGCAGGCGGUCUUGUAAGUCUGAUGUGAAAGCCUUCGGGUUAACCGGAGUAGUGCAUUGGAAACUGGGUGACUUGAGUGCAGAAGAGGAGAGUGGAACGCCAUGUGUAGCGGUGAAAUGCGUAGAUAUAUGGAAGAACACCAGUGGCGAAAGCGGCUCUCUGGUCUGUAACUGACGCUGAGGUUCGAAAGCGUGGGUAGCAAACAGGAUUAGAUACCCUUGUAGUC